UUGUGGAGGAGGACGCCGAAGGUGGGGCUAAUGACUGGGGUGAAGUCGUAACAAGGUAGCCGUACCGGAAGGUGCGGCUGGAUCACCUCCUAACAGGGAGACAACAAAAUGUUUAAUAUUAUUAUUUUGUCACCUUAGGUCGAUCGGUAUCUCACGUUUUUAAUUUAUUAAGAACUUCAUUUCCUAAGUUUUUCUAGGUCACACCCAUUAUUUUCCCUGGGCCAUUAGCUCAGGUGGUUAGAGCGCACCCCUGAUAAGGGUGAGGUCCCUGGUUCAAGUCCAGGAUGGCCCAUAUCUCUAUGUUGGGGGUAUAGCUCAGUUGGUAGAGUGCCUGCUUUGCAAGCAGGAUGUCAGCGGUUCGAGUCCGCUUACCUCCACUGAUUACCACCUCUGCCAUAUUUUGUAAUACAGGGAACAUUUUGAGAUGUGAUCAAAUUCUGAACGAAUCUAGCUUCCUAAUGAAAUCAUUAAGAUGCUGGACUCAUUGAAUAAUUUUCAUUGUUUUCAGAGAACCUUGACAACUGCAUAGAUUAUUUUUAAAGACAAUAAGCAUCUUUAAUGAUGCAGAUUUAUUAUUUGUGCGAAAGCAUUAAUAACAAUUCUAUUAAGCUGAUGCUUCAAUUUUGAAGUUAUUGGUCAAGCUACAA
Molecule: unclassified non-coding RNA, 647 nt
Filed under: uncultured Prochlorococcus sp.
Lineage: Bacteria; Bacillati; Cyanobacteriota; Cyanophyceae; Synechococcales; Prochlorococcaceae
Description: partial 16S-23S ribosomal RNA intergenic spacer; may also contain 16S ribosomal RNA and 23S ribosomal RNA
Rfam family: Bacterial small subunit ribosomal RNA (bases 1-93)
Source: RNAcentral